UCCAGAUCUCUGCAGCUCGUGUGCACUGUGCCGGGCCCGAUGCAAGGCUGCGCGGCUUGCACUCAAACCUCCUUGGGGUUCUGUCAACUUCUCCCGACGGCGGCGGUUGGGGAAGAUCCAGGACGGUCACGGUCCGGAGCUGCUGCCCACCUCAGCUGAGCGGGACAGUGACCUGAAGAUUGACAAGAAGUGUGUGGAAGCAGCACCGGAGAUCAAACUCAGGACCUUGUGCUUGUGAGGCAGGUGACAGAACCACUGAGCUAAAUCCCCAGCCCUACUUUUUUUUUUUUUUUGAACUCACUAUGCAUUCCAGGCUGGUCUUGAACUCACAGCAAUCCUCCUGCCUCAGCCUUCUAAGUGCUGGCAUUACAGGCAUGCACCACCACACCUGGCAACAGUUGUUCUAACAGGUGCCAAAGAUGGUUUAUGUUUUGUCUUCCUCAGUCACCUGAACAAACCCACCCCAAGCUGUCCACCCCUCCUCGUCUCAGUCGGGGACCCUGGCUCUGCAGGCAGCACCACCUGCUGGACUUUCCUGAACAUUCAACUUUUCCCUUCCCUCUGAGCUGCUUUUAAAAUUUUAUUUAUUCUCCCCUAUUACUUUAUUUAUUGUUCUGAGCUCUUAUUACACCCUGUCAUCAUGCCCACUGUACUGUGACUCAACCUUGAGCUAAGAAACACAUUUUGAGGUGUGUGGUGGAACAGGUCAGCAGUUAGGCUGCUGAGAUGUAGGUAGACUCAGCAUGGACAGUAAUGAAAGGACGUUCUUGUUUUCUGCCUCCAUGGAAAACCAUAGAUGAAGAAGCAUUUGAAUCUGGUAAAUUAAAAAUUAAUAUUGUAUUUGGUGCUGCUUUUUAAAUGUAUAUUUCAUAUUUUGCUAUAAUUUAAACAUUUAAGGAUGUUACACAAUAAUUGAGUGCAACAGUGAAAUAAAAUAAGAAUAAAAAUAAACAUGGGAGAUUGUUAGUUUGCUUCAUAUAGUAACAGUGUGGUAUCUGUAUGUAUGCUGUAACAUUAGGUUGCAAACCUCAAACACACAUAAUAAAAUUUAUUUUUAAAAUUGCCAGACAUGGUGGAUUAUAGGCGCACACCUAUAAUCCCAGUACUUGGGAGGCUGAUGUAGUGGGAUCACUGUAAGUUUGAGGCCAGCCUGGACUACAUAGCGAGGCCUUGUCUCUAAAACAAACAAAAAGUGCAAUAAAGGCUGCAGUUGUGAGACAGAAAGCUUGGAAGUGCUGUCCAGGCGGGGCACCAGCUCUGCGUGAGCAGAGUGGGCGUGCCCAGCAGGGCCAGUGUGCGAGACCUCCUCGGUGACCGCUGUCUCUUGACAGAUGCCUUCCUGCUGGCCAAGC
RNAcentral lists this long non-coding RNA (1352 nucleotides) under Heterocephalus glaber (naked mole-rat). RNAcentral describes it as "lncRNA (ENSHGLG00100043422.1)". The record is from RNAcentral. Lineage: Eukaryota; Metazoa; Chordata; Mammalia; Rodentia; Bathyergidae.